AUGCCUUAAACUAAUGAGUAAGGAAAAUAACGAGCUGGGGUAAUGCCUGGUUCCUCACUACUCAUGUGAGAAGAAUUUUUGUAUGGGUAAAGAUCACCCCUUGAAGGACCCACCUACUUGCAUGGGAUCUCUAGGUGCAGUGAUUUGCCCA
Molecule: small nuclear RNA, 151 nt
Filed under: Leptobrachium leishanense (Leishan spiny toad)
Lineage: Eukaryota; Metazoa; Chordata; Amphibia; Anura; Megophryidae
Description: U12 minor spliceosomal RNA (ENSLLEG00000016921.1)
Rfam family: U12 minor spliceosomal RNA
About the family: Although the U12 sequence is very divergent from that of U2, the two are functionally analogous.
Source: Rfam by way of RNAcentral